Molecule: long non-coding RNA, 9026 nt
Filed under: Homo sapiens (human)
Lineage: Eukaryota; Metazoa; Chordata; Mammalia; Primates; Hominidae
Description: HSALNT0347560
Source: RNAcentral
GAGAAACUCAGGACACACUGCAAGAGCCUGGCACUUACUGAGGCUCAGAAAACAAUACCCCAAAGUCUGGCACUUUGGCAUGCUGGGAAGGGUCCUGUCCUGUACCCGGGAGGAAGAAAUGCUACACAGAGAAGCCAAGAUGAAUCUGAACAGACAGCCUUUGUCAGUUCCACAGAUUCCAUAAAAGUUAACUCCAGAGCAGAGAAUGAUGCCACAGUCGGGAUAACAUCCAAUAUUUGCAAUCAGAAGAAAUAUGAGAGUCUUGCUCCAUCACCCAGGCUGCAGUGCAGUGGCACGAUCUUGGCUCACUGCAAGCUCCACCUCCCGGGUUCACGCCAUUCUCCUGCCUCAGCCUCCCAAGUAGCUGGGACUACAGGCGCCCACCACCACGCCCAGCUAAAUUUUUUUGUAUUUUUAGUAGAGAUGGGGUUUCACUGUGUUAGCCAGGAUGGUCUCGAUUUCCUGACCUCGUGAUCUGCCUGCCUCGGCCUCCCAAAGUGCUGGGAUUACAGGCGUGAGCCACUGUGCCCGGCCGUAAUUAUUCUUUUCGUGUUAAGCAAUGGUAAAAGAACUGACUGAAAAUAAGAAUAUUAAAAAGUUUCUCUGCUAAAAACAGAAAAUUAUGUUUGUUACCAUUCCUACUAUAACCCCAGUGAUAUGGCUCCGAUGAGUGGAGGAACACCAGGGUUCUUGGUCUUCAUGCCAGUUUAGAUAAAACAACACAGACAUACGUGGAGUGGUUUUAAGGAGCAGACAGUUUAAUAGGCAAGAAGAAAAGAGAAGGCAGAAGGAAAAGGCUCCCCGAUACAAAGACAGAGGGAGGGGGCCUCCAAAGCCAAAAGAGGAAAUCCCAAGUGCAGUGGAUACCAGCCAGGUAUAUGUAGAGGCUGGAGGAGGUGGUGUCUGAUUUGCAUAGGGCUCAGGGGAUUGGUUUGACCAGGCCUGUAAUUCACGGGGCCUGAAAAAGCUGGCCCUCCCACCCUAGCAUUUAAUAUGCAAAUGCAGGGCGCCACGAUGUUCUACAAAUGGUGGGUAUAUGUGGGAGCGGCCAUGUUGCCAGGAACAUGUGGGGCAAGGGCAAGAAGGCCACGGGAAUCACCAUGUUUGGGUAGACGCAGUUUCUAAUGGCUUGCAUUUGCCUAUCAAAGGUUGCCAGCCGCUCUAAGAGCCAGGGCAUUCCAAUUCUGGAGCUGCUUUAAAAAUGAAAACUUCCCAAGGAUCCCUUUUCUUUUCUAUCUGCCUAAAAUAAUUUCUUAAUAACUCCUACAACACAAUGAUUUUCAGUGAAACAAAAGCUGCUGUUUUAUUUUUGUUAAAUUGUUUUUCUUAGCUAAAGAGAUAAAAGUGAGGAUGAGGGAUUCAAAAUGUGGUUUACUUUAUAGAGCUUGCAAAACUCACAGCAUUUAAAGCAGUUUUUAACAGGAGUAUGGGGAUAGGGCUUGAAUGAACUUGGAAAUGCCAUUCAAUUGCUAAAAUCAUAUGCAUCACAUUGUGUUCGUCUGCACAUACGUGCACUUUUCUGGUAAGAAGUUUCAAACUUACAACAAAUUUUCAAAAGAGGUCUAUACUUUUGAAAGUAUAAGAAAUCACUUAGUUUACUGACUUUCCUUAUUUCAGGCCACAUCCAAAAGUACAAAACAGCACAUUUACAUUUUGUAUUUCACAUUUUUUUCAAUACUUACCUUGGGAGCCAUAGGCCCUGCUAAAGUUUUGCUGAAAAAUCAUGGACAUGAUGCAGAUUAAUUAAGAGGAGAAAAGGCAUAUAGAUUUAUUUAACAUGUAUACACAGGAGCAUUCAAAAUGAAGACCCAGCUUCUCCAUGAGUUACAGAAACUUAUAUACCAUCUUGAGUUUGCAGAACGAAUGGGGGCUUGCAUCCUGGUAAGACAGGAUAUAGGAAGAAGGAGAAGAGAAAUUCUAUUGAGGGGCAAUAAAUGACUGUGAAGGAGAAUGAUUGGAUCAGGGAACAGAGAUUAACUUUGUAAAUAGUUUUCUUUGAAAUUUAAAUGAUCCUUGGAGACAAUCAUUGUUCUUAUUAAAAGGUCUGUUCAGGUAUUGGUCACAUCUUGGCCUUCUUUUCUGCAAUAGAUAAUGAGAUAACAGAGAUGGGAAGAAAACACAAUAGUUCUCAUUGGUAGGUCUGGAUCCUAAGCAGAUAAAGGAACUUCAGUUUAUUUGGGAGAGACAGUGGUGGUGAGAGGCCAAAGAGAUCUUCAGGCUUCUUCAGCUCAGCAUGUCAAAAUGCCAUAUUUUGGUAUAUGAAUUUCUGAGCCCCAACAUUCUCCCAUCUGAAACUUCCCUAGGAGUUUCACAAACUAAAAGCUGAGUUAGUGGCUGUGGAAGAGAAAAGUUAAGCUAAAAUAUGAAUGGCAAAUAAUUCUAUUUAACCAAUCUGUGAAUAGGUCAAUUAAACACCUCUUUCAUUUUAGGAGAUAGCAUUGCAGAUGGGCUUUCAAACAGAAGAAAAACAGGUUAAUUUUGGAAACAGUCUAUAAACCAGUUUCCUUACAGUCUGCAGGGCAGUCAGUUGAGGUGUCCAGAUGUUAGACUCAAAGCCCAGUUAAAGAGGAAGCCAGCAAUGGCAAUCUGACAAGAUUUUUUUUGCCUGUUUCAAAAAGUUUAAGCUUUAGCUUAUAGGGCCUCAGGAAAAAGGUAGUAGCAAUUCCAUUGAGUCCAAGUAAGAAAAAUCCUUUUGAAUUUUUUAUUACCAGAUUUUAGUGAGGAUAAACAGCUGAUAUUUCUGGCUUUUAAACAUUUUUUUUUUUAACCAAUGACAUCCUCCCAAGUACCAUAAUCGAGGUUAUAACUUAAGCAUAAGGUGUCUUCAAAGAGGUGGCAAACACUUUUUACAAGAUAUAAAAUUACCCCAAAGAUAGCUCAAAGAAAGGAAAAUUUUGGUAGCCAUAAAUGGAGUGUGACUCACAUUUCUGUUUGGCCAGUCUCUGGAGUCUCAGCUGCUCAGCUCAUUUUCUACAUACAGAAGCCAAAAUGCCUCAUAUGCCCCCACAGAUGAAAGACAGGAAAUCAAAAUCUGUCCAUGGAAGGGAAAAUAAUCAAUAAAUUUUGGGAAGGUAACACAAACGUCAAUCCAGAAAGCACUAAGUCCCUUGCCAGAAGUUUAAUCCAGGCUGCUGUGGUAAAAGGGCAGACCUUGGCUACUAGGUUACAACAUGAGGUGGUCUUUAUUGUUCUUCCCAGAAGAAAUCCAGAGCAGACAGUUUCAAUUUGCAAAGGAUUUUAACUUUGUUUUAGGUCAGAUUUUUUUUUCUCUUUUAAUUUAGUCAGAGAAUUCUCAAGGCUAACUGUGACACCAUUAUGUGUCCUUUUAAAAUGUAUUUUCCCAUUAAUUCUUUCCAAUUAAAAAAAAUCUCUAAAAUCUUUUAAAAUUUAUCUUUUGGCCACUGACAAUUAGAAUUUUCAAUGACAUACUUAAUUCCAAUAGUGACUUUAUCCAAAAGCCUCUUCAUGUAAAGCCCAGGUGGUAAUUUUCCAGGUUUUUACCAUGUAAGCAACAGUUGUUCCCGGAGAGGGUGUAGAGGAGGCGAUCCCCAUGAUCUCCACAAAUUCAUUCUCGGAAAUAGACUCAACAUAGCAAAGAUGACAAAAACCCCAUAGGGUUGGGACUUUUUAAGACAAAACUCACCUAAAAGCUUCAUACAUUCAGAAUGAAGAGUGUGCUGCUUAAAAUAUUACAUGCCUCGGUUUGCAAUCUUUCAGACUGGCUGCCUAAUGUGAACCUGAAAAAUCACACCCUUUGGAUGAUGGAGACUAAGAGAGGACCCCCACUUAGUCAGUCAUGCUCUCAAGGACAUAAGACAGGAUAAAAGGAAAACCUCAUCUGUAUUACAGGGACCCAUAGCAAAGUUUGUUUUAAUAGACACCCAUCUAGCCAGAACCACCAAACCAGCCAAUCUUCAGGGCUGGCUGAAACAAUGGGCUUAUAGGGGUUCUAGGCCUAUGUUCUACACUAUGGUACCCAUCUUCACGACAGAACAACACAGAAAGACAAAGACAAAGGAAAAUGGCAACAACAACAACAACAACAAAUCACCUAUUUCUGAGAGGAAAGGGGGGGUCGAAGAAUGUGAAUAUUCAUACCUCACAGUACUGAAAGUACACUGGAGUCACUAUAACCCAAGACUCAUCACACAAAUCCUUUUUUCUCAUUAAUAAAAUCAUUGCAGAUGAGACAAACAAUGAUUUUUUCCCAUCCACUCAACUGGAAUGCAAAGAGAGAGAGAGGUCAGGAGACUGGCUGGUAAGAAAUUCUUAUCCCUUUGCUGGCAGGUCAGGUUCCUGGGUUCUCUUUACUGCAGCUUAUAGAAGAGAAGAGCAGCUUUGAUUACCCUGCUCACUGCACUAUACUGUGGUGGCCAUAGGCUCUUGGUCCCUUGAAGUUUCACUGAAAAAAAAAUCACUGACAUGAAGCAGAUAAAUUAAUAGGGGAAAAGGCAUGUAAAUCUAUUUAGCAUGUAUACACAGGAGCCUUCAGAAUGAAGACCCAACUUCUUCAUGAGUUACAGAAACUUGAGGUUACAAAAGAAUGGGGGCUCGCAUCCUGGUAAAACAGGUUAUGGGAACGGUGGAGGGGGAAGAGGAAUUUUACUGAUGGGCAAUAAAUGAUUGCAAGGGAGAAUGACUGGAUUGGGGAACAGAGAUUAACUGAUCUGUAGAGACAGUAAUUAUCCUCAUAAAAAGGUCUGUGCAGGUAUGGUCACAGCUUCUUUUCUGCAGUAGAUAAUGAGAUAAUGGGGAGGGAAAGAAAAAGACAAAUUAUUCUCCUUGGUGGGUCUGGAUUUUAGGCAGAUAAAGGAACUUCAGCUUCUUUGGGUGAGAUCAUGUGGAGAUUAGGUCAGAGAGACCUUGAAGCUUCUUCAGCUUAGCAUGUCAAAACAUCAUAUUUUGGGGUAACAAUUUCUGAGCCCAACAUUAUUAUGUCAACCCCUCCAGGAAACUGCAAUUGAGCAGAAUAGAUAGUAAUGAUACUAAGGUUAUAAGGGUGUUAAAAGAUAACAUUUUUUAAGGGUAAAAGCAUUCUUCUCAAAAAAUAUAAAACACAUGAAGAUUCUAUUAAAUUCAUUAAUUAAUAAUGGAAUCAAAUGUUAGAACCAGUUCAGAGUAGUUCUUUUUAAUGACACAAAUGUAGGGAAUAAGGAAUGCUAAAACAAAAUUUUAAAUAAAGACAGAAGUGAUCUAUCUACAGGACAAUAACCAACUGCAUUCCACAAGGACCCAAUUUGUUUGUAUUUCAACUGAAAAGAAUCAUUCACAUUAUUAUGAGUUUUAAAUCCUUCAAAAACAAUGACAAGCACAGAGAUUGCAGAUGGGUACACUAUAAAGGCUGCCAGCGAUCUCCCCCUCCCUCAUUUCGAAUCUGUCACAAUUUUUCUGACAUGCAUUUGCAGAGAAAUUGUGAUGAAGUUUUUUUCUGUCACACAAAAGGCAAGCAUCCAAUUUGACUGAGGGAGUCAAAGGUAGUCCCCACAGAAGUGGUAUUUAAAUGAAUGUUGAAUGAAUGUGCAUUAAGUAAAGAAUAUCUAUGGGGACUUAACAUUUGAAAGGUUCUGGGGCAUCUGAAAAAACAGAGCAAAGCUGUUGGAUGACAAUGGAAUGCUAAUUUAGAGUCGUGUUUGGAAGAACUGAGGUCCCAGUGGUGGAAUUUGAGUUUAUGAUUUCCCAAAGUACGCCUCCUAGAGGAGGAAGUAUACAUCAGUGCUUGAUGGCUUUGAGAGAGUCUUGAGAGUGUAGCCUGCAGCUUCUCAAUGAAAAAUGUCAAAUUUAUCUGCAAUCAUGUUUUAUCUUAAAAUUUCGCUUGGUUUUUAAUAUAACAAUCUAUGAGAUUACAACUUAUUGAGUAAAAUUUAUUGUGCUUAGUACAUGAGAGGAAAGAAGUAUAUAUUGGUUUUGAAUUUUGGCUGAACUGACAUUCCACAAAGUCAUCCCAGGCUCUUAGCCAGACUCUCUGGGUACACUCACUUUGUCUCCGGAGAUAUGCAAGCUCCUCAAAUUAAGGUGCAAAACAUGCAUUGACUACAGGUUACUAAAAGCUUUUAUUGGUCAGUGAAGUCACACGGUUAGUUUUAUUAUGUUUGGGGAAAAUUACUGCCAAUUCCAUGAAAGAAGAUUUGACCCAGCACCAGUGGGAAGCAGUGAUCAGAAAAUGGGCUGCCGAAACAGGCUUGGACUGAGGGUGUGAAUGGGAAGAAAAACGCUAUCUUACAGAGGUAAUUAAAAUGUUCUGACCAAUUAUCUACAGGCGAGAAAAGAGAAGGGUCAGGUAUAACAUUUCUGGUUGUAUUCCUGCAGACAGUUUGCUGGUAGAACUGGAGUUAGCAACUAUGCCACUGAUAGAAACAGGAGACAGCCAAGGGUCCCCGGAGAAACCCUGCCUUCAAGCCUAAAACGCCCUGCAGGCUGAAAAACCAGCUGCUGGUCCUGGAUGAAACCCACAACCCAGAGGGAGAACUGCCCCUGUUUGCCCGCCCUUUCCCAGCCGAUUCUUUCAGAAUAAGGCCCACAUGCGCACCGGGGAAACGGGGUCGAGCCACAGAAAGUUGCGCCUUGUUCAAUGGGGAGGAGUCUGGUCUCUUCAGUUUUCCUGUGCGUGGCCUGGAAUCAAUCUGUGAGGUGGGGGCCUAUUGGCAGGAUCCCCUCUCGCUUUCUUGAGAGUUUUUUUCUUUUUUUCCUUUUUGCCCAGUAAAUUCUGUUCCCCACACCCUUCAAUGUGUCCACGUGCCUAAAUUUUCCAGUUCUUGAUAUAAGAACCUGGAUUUAGCUGAACUAAGGAGCAAAAAUUCUCCUUAGAAUUUUUGGAAGGUUGGUGUAAAGUUAACAGUUGCAGCCACCUGACGGUUUCUAAAUCCCAGGUUUCUUGUAUUACCCAUUGCUCUUUUUCUCUAGCCUUUUAAAGCAGACCUGUAAGAGACCAGGCCAGCUUUAGCAUUUCUUUUGUCUUUUAAUCUGUAAGUUUUGUGCUUGAGCAGGAAGCAGACAGGUUACCUUUUUAAGACACUAAAGGAGAUGAGAUGAAAUUAUUUGUAUGAUCAAAAUGCAUAUUUAGAAUGUGCAUCUGUAAGUUUUCCAUGAUUAAGUUCUUGGGAAAAAAUUUUCAUUUUCCUACUUGGGAUUAAAGAAAAUUCAUCAUAAUAGCGUAGUUAGAAGAGUGAAUGUGAGGAUGCAAAGCCAAGCAAUAUUUAAAUUUACCAAUCUAAGAAGAAAUCUUUAAUCUGGCAUUAUGGCCAAUGAAUCUCAUGUAAAAUUUUCUUCCAGAUGCCCACACAGCUUAACUUUUAGAAACACAACACAGGAUAUUUCAGAGAUAAGCUGUGAUGAGUUCAGGACACGCUACCCCCAAAAUAUGACACAGUGGCAUAUGUAAUAUUUUAGGUGGAAGGAAUUUGAGAAAUAUCAUGAGUGGGAAGUGUCUUCUGACCUUCCCAUGAAGCAGAUCAUAACAACCUCAUGUGAAAGGUGCCCUCCCUAUACCCAGAUGAAAGGAGCAGCCUUCUCUCUGAAGACACAGGGACACAGACAAGAACUGAAUGAAGGGAUUUUGCUCAGUUUUCCCCAGUUUACUCAUACCCUUUAUGCUAUCACAUUUUCCCAUAACUUUCCACUUUUCAUUAAACCUAGAAUAAAAACUCUCAGGUUAAACUGUUUCUUUGCGUCUUCAUUUCCUUAUGAAAACUCCCAUGUCACAUAAAACUUAAAUAAAUGUGCAUGCUUUUCUCUUGUUAAUCUCUUUUGUUACAGGAGUACCAGCCAAUGCACGUUAAGAUGAGUAGAAGGAAAAGAUGUUUUUCCUCCUCUAUAGCUACAUAGUCACAAACAAGGCUGUACCUGUAUAAGGUUUCUUUGGAUAGCAGUGAGUAAAACCUACGCGGAGAGGUUCUAUGCCGAAGGAAUUUUGCUUACUGGAGGACCAGAAACACACGCGCGCGCGCGCGCACACACACACACACACACACACGGGCAGGGGACAAGGGCGUGGCAAAGGGCUCAGAGUGAUUAGGGAACAUGAGCCUUAUGGAAACCAAAGGAUCCUGGAAAGCAGUAAUAGUCAUUGCUGACAUUCAUUAAUAGCUUAUUAUGAGUGUGUGUGUGCAACACACACACACACACAGAGAAAGAGAGAGAGAUUGAUUCUGCUUUUUCUGGAACUAGAGCUAGAAAUGUGGUUUAGGAGGGUUAGGAUACAAAUCCUAUUCCUUUGGGAUUGCAUCCUUCAAAGGGUGUAUGAGGAGAAUUAUCAUUUCUUUAAUAGUGCUUGGCCCUAAACUUUCCCACAAGUCUGGUCAUGGAAAGCUUUCCCAAGGAGUUCUGCUUUGAGUAUUUAUAUCCGUCUGACUUCUAGGAAAAAGCCAAGAAAUAGACAGAGAGACAAAGAAUACCCUAAAGACACUUAGAGAUGUACCAGAUUGUAAUGUUGCAAAUUUCUUAGGACAAUAUCAUAUAUCAGAAGAGAGUGGGUUUACUUGGAUAGGAGUCAGAAAUUUGGGGAAAUAAUGGCUGUGUUAGCAAAUGCGCCUUCACCCUACCAAGAAGGCUUGUUUUUCUUAGCACACAGUGGAUUUAAAGUUACAGCCUGAGUGGAUAUUCCCAGCUCAGUUGAUUUCUCAUGAGCCACAUAUAUUCACAUGCCCCAGACAAGAUUAUUUCCAGUUUUCAGCACUCGUAGUUCUGGGAAGGGAGAGCUAAAUUAUGUGAGAGCACUCUCAGUGGGGGGACACAUAGAGAGAGUUGUUCUAGCAGCAAUAAAACUAGGGCAAUAAGGGGAAUUGAAGGUUAGGCAAGUCUGAGGCCUCAGACAUGGUGUUCAAUCAAUUAUAACAGAAGGACCUGCAUUGAUUCCAGCUGAAAUCUUAAGUAGGUAGCAGCUAGAUUAGCCUCAACAGAGAAAACAAUUAUUUUGGGGGCUACCUGUGGAGAUGAACUCCCUAAAAAGCUCUAAUUUUUAGAAAAUAUUUCUUAUCGUUUCAACAAACAUUAUGAAGUAUAUUCUGGACACUGGGAAUAGAAAAGUGAGU